GUGUAAGCGAGUAAGGGCAUGCGGUGGAUGCCUUGGCGCCAGGGGCCGAUGAAGGGCGCGGCACACUGCGAAAAGCCUCGGGGAGCCGUGUGCGGGCGCGAUGACCCGGGGGUGCCCGAAUGGGGAAACCCGCCUGGGGUGAACCCCAGGCAUCCGUGGCUGAAUCCAUAGGCCACGGAGGGGCACGGGGGGAACUGAAACAUCUUAGUACCCCCAGGAAAAGAAAUCAACCGAGAUUCCCCUAGUAGUGGCGAGCGAACGGGGAAGAGCCCAAACCCACAGGGUGUUAAAGCCCGAGGGCGUUGCCCUGUGGGGGUUGUGGGAUCCAUCCGGGGGCGGCCUCGGACGCCUCAGGGAGUUACCAAGCCUUGGCCUAGCCGAAGUGGUCUGGAAAGGCCCGCCAUAGAGGGUGAUAGCCCCGUAGGCGAAAGGUCGAAGGCCUCCCGGGGAUGGGAUCCCGAGUACCACGGCCCACGUGGAAGGUCGUGGGAAGCAGGGGGGACCACCCUCCAAGGCUAAAUACCCCUGGCGACCGAUAGCGCACCAGUACCGUGAGGGAAAGGUGAAAAGAACCCCGGUGAGGGGAGUGAAAUAGAACCUGAAACCGCAUGCCUACAAGCGGUCCGAGGGCUAUGGCCCCUUUGGGGGCAAUGCCUGAGGGCGUGCCUUUUGGAGAAUGAGCCGGCGAGUUACUCUCGGUGGCGAAGGCUAAGGGGGUCACACCCGGAGCCGGAGCGAAAGCGAGUCCGAACAGGGCGUCUCGUCGCCGGGAGUAGACGCGAAACCGGGUGAGCUACCCAUGGCCAGGGUGAAGCGGGGCUAAUCCCCCGUGGAGGCCCGAACCCAUCACCAGUGCAAAGGUGUGGGAUGAGCUGUGGGUAGGGGUGAUAUGCCAAUCGAACCCGGAGAUAGCUCGUUCUCCCCGAAAUAGCUUUAGGGCUAGCCUCACGCGGUCCGUGGCGGAGGUAGAGCACUGGUAGGGCUAGGGGCGUUAUGCUACCGAACCCUGUCAAACUCCGAAUGCCGCCACGUGCAGCGUGGGAGUCGGACCGUGGGGGAUAACCUCCAUGGUCGAGAGGGGAACAACCCAGACCGCCUGCUAAGGCCCCCAAGUCCGGGCUCAGUGGGAAAGGAUGUGGGGCUGCUAUGACAGCCAGGAGGUUGGCUUAGAAGCAGCCAUCCUUUAAAGAGUGCGUAACAGCUCACUGGUCGAGCGGCCCUGCGCCGAAAAUGUAACGGGGCUUAAGCCCGGCGCCGAAGCAGCGGGUUCUCGUGCCGAUGAGGCACGGGAGCGGUAGGGGAGCGUUCCGCACGCGUGGAAGCGCGACCGUGAGGACGCGUGGAGCGUGCGGAAGUGAGAAUGCCGGCACGAGUAGCGGAAGACGCGUGAGAACCGCGUCCGCCGAAGGCCUAAGGUUUCCGACGCAAGGUCGAUCCGCGUCGGGUUAGGCGGGACCUAAGGCGAGGCCGAAAGGCGUAGCCGAUGGACAGCCGGUUAAUAUUCCGGCCCCACCCGGGUGGAGCGAAGGGGGGACGCAGGAGGGUAGGCCAGCCGGCCGCUGGCUGUGCCGGUGCCAAGUCCUUAGGGCGAUGAAGGCGGUAGGCAAAUCCGCCGCCGGAGCCUGAGGGAUGAUGGCGAGCCGGGGAAACCCGGCGGAAGUGGUCGAGCCCACACUGCCGAGAAAAGCCUCUAAGCGUUGAAGCCCGGGUGCCCGUACCGCAAACCGACACCGGUAGGCUGGCGUAAGCGCGCCAAGGCGGACGGGAGAACCCUCCUCAGGGAACUCGGCAAACUGACCCCGUAACUUCGGGAGAAGGGGUGCCUCGCGUAGGGUGAGGCCUUCGGGCCGAGCCCGAGGAGGCCGCAGUGAACAGGCCCUGGCGACUGGUUACCUAAACCACAGGUCUCUGCUAACCCGUAAGGGGAAGUAUAGGGGCCGACGCCUGCCCAGUGCCGGAAGGUUAAGGGGAGGGGUGACCCGGCUUCGGCCGGUGUAGCCCUGAACUGAAGCCCCGGUGAACGGCGGCCGUAACUAUAGACCGGACCGCUGUAGUUACGUAAAUAAACCCGGCUAUAUGCUGGGAAGUCCGUCCCCUAACAGGGGUGAAGGAUCCGGCGGUACCUAACGGCUGCAUGCCGUUGGGUAACAAUCCGUCCGGUGCGGACCAUCAGCAGGAAAGGCUCCCUGGGUUGCCUUUCCGGAGGAAGGAGUGAUGCCUCUGGACGUGAGACAUAUCCCUCCUCACAUCGGUUACUACUUGACGGGGUUUGCUGAUGGUGAGGGAAGCUUCAACGUUACAUUUCGGCGCCGCCGAGACUACCGGAUGCCAUGGAGGGUGUCCCUCUGCUUCAAUGUGAGUAAUCGAGAUAGAGUCAUCCUUGCCCUCUUCAAGCGCUAUCUCCAAUGUGGCACGUUACGGCAACGGGGAGACGGGGUCUGGUACUAUGAGGUCAACGACUUCAAUGCGAUCCUGGGCCACGUCAUCCCCUUCUUCGAGCGGUUUCCUUUCCUAUCUGCGAAGAAGCGGCGAGAUUUCUCGAAGUUCAAGGAAAUCGCCAAAAUCAUGGAAGAAGGGCGUCACAACACAGAAGAGGGCGUUCGGGAAAUCUUGCGCAUCCGGCGAGAGAUGAACGACGGUGGCGCUGGGAGGCGAAAGUAUAGCGAUGAAGAAAUCCUCCGGACUCUCACCCAGGGAGAAUCCUCAGAGACCAUACGCCGGGCACCCGAGGGGUAUGCAAGCGCCGCCCGCCCCAUCGGGUGAAGAGAUGGUCCGAUCUCCGUGGCGACACGGAGGGCCUGAGCACCUGCUCAGGCCGCACCAGACGGGGCAUCCAGACCCGUUUGCUGGUGUAACGGAAUGAACGGUCCUAAGGUAUCGCCUGAAAGGCGCUGCCUGCCUGUCGGGUAACCGACAGGGCAAUGCCCGGCUGUAUGCGGGAAAGCCCUAAGAGCCCUCCCUACGUCUCCGGCGAAAGGCCGGCGUCAAAAUGGCGAGGGAUUGGGCAAUCCGCAGGAAACCCCCGGGUUCAAUCCCGGCGGGGAUCCUCAGAGACCAUACGCCGGGCAUCCGGCCGGGAGGUCAUCUAUGGAAUUGUCUCCGGACUGGGUGGUAGGGUUCGUGGACGGCGAAGGUUGUUUCCACGUCUCCAUCACCCGCCAUCCCUCGAUGAAGAUCGGCUAUCAGGUGCUGCCGGAGUUCGUGGUCGUCCAGCACCGCCGGGACAUCCAGGUGCUCUACGCCUUGAAACGGUUCUUCCGGUGUGGUGUGGUCCGCCCCGAUCAUGAGGACCGCUACGCCUACCGGGUCCGACAGCUGGAGUGCCUGGAGCGCAUCUGUGAGUUCUUCCUGCGGCAUCCUCUGAAAACCCGUAAGAACGUCGAGAUGCGUCGGUUCCGGCGGAUCCUCCUCCUGAUGAAGAAAGGGCACCAUCAGACCCGAGAGGGGUUGCUGGAGAUCAUCCAGAUCGCCUCUCGCAUGAACUCCGCUGACCGCCCUGCGCUGGAGCGGAUCCGCCAAGAGCUCCUGGCCGGAUGAAGAGAUGGUCCGCCCCGUGGUGAAAGCCGCGGAUUCAGGUGAGCGAAAUUCCUUGUCGGGUAAGCCGAUCGCUUGCCCCUUCUCCCCGCGAGGGGAGAUGAAACGCCGGCUCAUAUCGGGGGAGCCCUCCUGCCGUGGUGCGGGACGGCGUGGGGUGAUCCCGAGGGAAGUCGGCCCGGCCCUCGCCGGGCUUGACCCCGUAACGACUGACCCGAAAGGGGAGGCGCGGUUCCCCACCCCGCGCAACACGCCGGCCCUCACCCCUCGCCUAGAUGCGGCGAGCCGAGGGCGCCUAUGGAGCCUCCUUCCGGAUGAGGUGGGGCGAGAUGAUGCAACUGGAUCCCUGGUAUGUGACCGGGCUGGUGGACGGCGAGGGAAGUUUCAUGGUGAGUUUCAAUCUGCGUCCCUCGCUGUCUACAGGGAUCGAGGUGCGUCCCGCUUUCGCUGUCGCCCUGAAUGAGCGCUCGCUGGAGGUGCUGAAAGCCCUGCGCCGUUUCUUCGGUUGCGGAGCCAUCCGCUACUCGCGCGGGGACCGCACCUACAAGUGGGAAGUGCGAUCGAUCUCGGACAUCGUGCAGCGCGUGCUUCCCCACUUCGAGCGCUAUCCUCUGCAAACAGCGAAGCGGGCAGAUUUCGAACGUUUCGCCCAAAUUUGCCGCUGGGUUCACGCGAAUCGCCAUCGCAAUCGGGAGUAUCUGAGGCGCAUCAUCGAUCUGGCGUAUGAGAUGAAUCCGAGCGGCAAGCGUCGUUAUCGGAAGGAGGAUCUCCUAAGGGUGCUCGGGUGAGGUGAAGGGAUAGUCUGCCUCCAGUGGAAACACUGGGAGAAGGCGAAGUUCCGACCCGCACGAAAGGCGUAACGACCGGGGCGCUGUCCCGAGGAGGGUCCCGGCGAAACUGCGAACUGCGUGAAGACGCGCAGUGCCCGCAGCGGGACAAAAAGACCCCGUGGAGCUUUACUGGAGCCUGGUAUUGGGUUAGGGUUUGGCCUGUGUAGGAUAGGUGGGAGGCUGAGAAGCCCGGGCGCCAGCUCGGGUGGAGCCGCCGGUGAAAUACCACCCUGGUCAAAUCUUGGCCCUAACGCCGACCCGUGAACCCGGGCGGCGGACAGUGCCUGGUUGCCAGUUUUGCUGGGGCGGCAGCCUCCUAAAAGGUAACGGAGGCGCCCAAAGGUCCCCUCAGGCGGAAUGGAAACCCGCCGUUGAGUGCAAGGGCAUAAGGGGGCUUGACUGCGAGGCUGACAAGCCGAGCAGGGGCGAAAGCCGGGCCUAGUGACCCCACGGUUCCGUGUGGAAGGGCCGUGGAUCAACGGAUAAAAGCUACCCCGGGGAUAACAGGCUGGUGAGGCCCAAGAGUUCACAUCGACGGCCUCGCUCGGCACCUCGAUGUCGGCUCAAAAUUGGGCCCCUGAGGGGGUAACCCCUCAGGUCACAUCCGGCUUAUAACGGGGGAGCCCUAACGACCGGAGCCUUUCCGGGAUCGAGGGUAAUCCCGUGGGAAGUCGAGGAGCUGAACAUGCUGCCGGAGCCGCUGCAUUCCGUGAUCGUGGGGAGCUUGCUGGGAGACGCCUGCUUAGAACGCAACGGCCGCCACUGGCGGCUCCGCUUCGAUCACGGAUGGAGAGAAGAAGCCUACGCCUGGUGGAAGUUUCGGCUAUUGCACACCAUCGCCGCUUCAACGCCGCGCUGGAUAGAGGUGCGGGAUCGGCGAACAGGCCGAAUAUACCGACACGUCCGCUUCGACUCUAGAUCCAUCCCCGAGCUGGAAGCAUACGCGGGAUGGUUCUAUGAGGAUAGACGGAAACGGGUGCCGCCGAUCAUCGACAUGCUUCUCACCAGCAGCUUGGCUCUGGCAGUGUGGUAUAUGGAUGACGGACAUCGCCGUGCGGAUUGCAGGGCGUUGCGCCUGAACACACAGGGUUUCCUGUGCGAGGAGGUGGAUCUCCUGAUCCGGAUGCUUCAUCGCAACUUCGGCAUAGCGGCGCGAAGACAUUGGGUCAAGGAUAAUCAAUGGGUGAUCUACCUCCCUGUCCAAACGGCGCAGCGUUUCUGCGAUCUAAUCCGUCCCCAUAUACCCCCGGAGAUGGGAUAUAAGCUCCUCUGACCCCGUAACGACUGAGGGCGCAAGGCCCGAGAUGGUCGGCCCUGGGAUCUGAUAAAGGAUCCCAAAUCUAUGCCGGCCAUCAGACGCCGGACCCCUGGUUGGGCGAUGGCCAGGGUGAUGAGAUAGUCUGCGCCACCGGAAACGGUGGGGAACGCGCAUCGCAUCCUGGGGCUGGACAAGGUCCCAAGGGUCGGGCUGUUCGCCCGUUAAAGCGGUACGUGAGCUGGGUUCAGACCGUCGAUGCAGGCGGCCCCGAGCGGGUAACCCUCGGGGAAAAACCGGCUCAUAACGGGGAAGCCCUCCGGAUCGGACGACCGGAUGCCGAGGGUAACCCCGUGGGAAGGCGGAAGCGAUGGAGGACACCACGCGCGCUUACAUCGCAGGAUUUCUGGACGGGGAUGGGAGUAUCGUUCUCCAGCUUAAGCCUCGACGGGAUUAUCGUUUCGGUUUUCAAAUCCGCGCGACCGUUAGCUUCUAUCAGAAACGUCGAGGACGCUGGGUGCUGGAGUGGCUCUACGCACACAUCGGUCGAGGUAGAAUCCGAGAGCGGCCAGAUGGGAUUGUUCAAUACGACAUUGAAGGUGUGGAAUCUGUAAUCUGGCUGCUUGAGCAGGUUCAGCCUUACAUUGUAGCCAAGAAAGAACAAGUGGAGCAGGCUCUCGGUCUACUUCGAGAAGUGUGUGCAAAUGAAUCUCCCACCCCGGAGGAAUUCUGGGAGUGGGCGCGUCGGGUGGAAUCCUAUCAGGCCCUAAACUACUCGAAGAAGUGCCGCUAUCGAGCAGAAGAUGUGCGGCGCUUUCUCAGUAGCAAGGGCUGGCUUCCGCCCCCGUAACGACUGAGGCCAUCGGGCCGAGGCUUGGGUUUCGGAUCCCUCGGCGAAGGGAUCCCAAUUUGUAACCCAGGCAAUACGCCGGCAUCCCCGAAAGGGGAUGAUGGUAUAGUCUACCCCCCAGGGAAACCUGGGGAAGCGGUGCGUGAGACAGGUCGGUCUCUAUCCGCUGUGGGCGUUGGGGGCUUGAGGGGUGCUGCCCCUAGUACGAGAGGACCGGGGUGGACGGACCUCUGGUGUGCCGGUUGUCGCGCCAGCGGCAUCGCCGGGUAGCCAACGUCCGGACGGGAUAACCGCUGAAAGCAUCUAAGCGGGAAGCCCACCCCAAGAUGAGGCCCCCCACCGGCUUUGACCGGGUAAGGCCGCCGGGAGACGACCGGUUUGAUAGGCCGCAGGUGGAAGCCCGGUAACGGGUGAAGCUGAGCGGUACUAACGGCCGAGGGCUUACACGU
RNAcentral lists this ribosomal RNA (6918 nucleotides) under Thermoflexus sp. Its description in RNAcentral is "23S ribosomal RNA". The stretch from base 1 to 2277 matches the Rfam family "Bacterial large subunit ribosomal RNA". Lineage: Bacteria; Bacillati; Chloroflexota; Thermoflexia; Thermoflexales; Thermoflexaceae. The record is from RNAcentral.